GAUGAAGAACGGAGCGAAAUGCGAUAAUUAAUGUGAAUUGCAGAAUUUAGUGAAUCAUCGAGUCUUUGAACGCACAUUGCGCCUCAUGGUAUUCCGUGAGGCAUGCCUGUCUGAGCGUCAACAACACCACUCAAGCAUUGCUCUCUUGCUCUGCUUGGUCCAUGUCAGGGAAGCGGUUGGGCCUGUCCAACUGCCCCUUGAAAAGCAAUAGAUGGUCAGGUUGUCACCUUAAGCCAAACGUCAUAUGAUUCUUAUCGUUCGUUUGUCUAUCUGACUUCUUGACAGUUGUUGAACCCAACAGCACCAUGCUGUUUAUUCUGACUUGACCUCAGAUCAGGUAGGGAUACCCGCUGAACUUAAGCAUAUCAAUAAGCGGAGGA
Molecule: unclassified non-coding RNA, 380 nt
Filed under: soil metagenome
Description: partial contains 5.8S ribosomal RNA, internal transcribed spacer 2, and large subunit ribosomal RNA
Rfam family: 5.8S ribosomal RNA (bases 1-120)
Source: RNAcentral